UAGGGUGGUAUCUGCACUAAAUUUGUUUAGGAAGUAGAGUACAUGCUUUUUGGACAAAGAACACCAACGUUCCCAUGUUGUUCUUAUGAGAAUGUCAGGAGGGAGGAGUUAUUUCCACUUAUCAGUCAGGUUUUGAAGAUGGAAGGUAGUUAUCUGUGAUUUUUCCCACCAGAAUGCCAUAUAUUGCUCAGAAUGUGGAAAUGAAGCAUGCUGAAAACAGAGUGGCUUGUGACAGGCUUGUAGAAAGUAGUAUGGAUUGAGAAGAAUUAGAGAAGAGCAUGGUACUGGAGAGCUAUCAAGGUACAAGACUUGCUUGAAGAAAACUGGACGUGCUAAUACUUUAGUUUCAGAGGUGACAAGAUUUGAUGGAAAGAAGUUAGACAUUGUAGACAGCAUUGGUGAUCGUUUGGAUGACAUAAACGAAGCAUGCGAUUGCAGUGUCAGUCGUUCAUUUGGAUGGAAAUAGUUCAAAGUUUUGGUGCUGCAAUUGCAGCUGCAAGAAUUUCUACAUCCUCGUUCAAAGGUUCCCACCAGAUCUUGCAAGGCCUUUGUAAAUUGAACAACAGGUCAUACCUUUCCACUCAAGAACAAGAGAGACUCAU
Non-coding RNA from Coffea arabica (coffee), 602 nucleotides. The record is from RefSeq and is a predicted model, not a curated record. Lineage: Eukaryota; Viridiplantae; Streptophyta; Magnoliopsida; Gentianales; Rubiaceae.